This 222-nucleotide long non-coding RNA is filed under the name Elaeis guineensis (African oil palm). Its description in RNAcentral is "long non-coding RNA (EGUI_LNC017226)". Lineage: Eukaryota; Viridiplantae; Streptophyta; Magnoliopsida; Arecales; Arecaceae. The record is from RNAcentral.
UUGACUGUAUUUAUUUUAAAGUUGUUUAAAUGUAUCAUUUUUAUCAAAAAAAAUAAAAAUAUUUCAGGAGUUUCUCCAAAAAUAAUAAUAAACUAUAAGAGUUUACUAUUUUUGCUGUUUGCUUGCAAAUGAUGUUGUGUUUUUGUUAUUUGUAUCACAAUUUUUGUUAUUUGUAUCACAACUAGCCCUACAUAUAGAGGGAAUAGAAUGUUGCACCCGUGC